This 370-nucleotide unclassified non-coding RNA is filed under the name uncultured Coltricia. Its description in RNAcentral is "sequence contains ITS2". The record is from RNAcentral. Lineage: Eukaryota; Fungi; Basidiomycota; Agaricomycetes; Hymenochaetales; Hymenochaetaceae.
AACACACCUUGUGCUCCUUGGGUCACCUAUGGAGCAUGCCUGUUUGAGUGUCAUAUUGAAUCAACUCCCCUCAGGUUUUUCGUUCUGAAAAGCCUGUUCAGGUGGAGUUGGAUUUGGAGGUUUCAUGCAGGUCCCCCUUGGGGGAUCAGCUCCUCUUAAAUACAUUAGCUUAUAAGAUGAAGCAAAAAGGCUCUUUAGCAUUGUUCAUUGGCUAUGGUGUAAUAAUUGUUCCAUCAUGGUGUUUAAAUGAUCAGUGUGUUUGACUGGAGCCUUUCUCACAUCAUUGUCAGCUUCUAAUUGUCAGGUGUAAUCCUGACAGAUAUAUUGACCCUUUGACCUCAAAUCAGGUAGGACUACCCGCUGAACUUAA